Molecule: ribosomal RNA, 1336 nt
Filed under: uncultured Pelagophyceae
Lineage: Eukaryota; Pelagophyceae
Description: partial Bacterial small subunit ribosomal RNA
Rfam family: Bacterial small subunit ribosomal RNA
Source: RNAcentral
UUGAAUUUAAUUUUGGUUCAGAAUAAACGCUGGAAAUAUGUUUAACACAUGCAAGUUGAAUGUCUUUUUUAAGAUUUAGCGUACGAGUGAGGAAUACAAAGGUUAUUUACUUUCAGGUACGGAAUAAAAUACUGUAUAAUAGAGUAAAUCUCGCCUCCAAAUAAGCUUUUGUAGAAUUAGGUAGUUGGUAAAUUAAUGGCUUACCAAGCCAAUGAUUCUUUGUUGAUUCGCAAGAAUGUUCAACCACGCUGGGAAUGAAAAGGACCCAGUCUUUAUUUAGAAGACAGCAGUGAAGAAUUUUGGACAAUGGACGACAGUUUGAUCCAGCGAUAUUUCUUAGGUGAUGAAGGCUGUAUGGUCGUAAAACCUAUUAUUUUAGAAAGAAGAUGACGGUACUAGAAAAAAGUAUCAACCAAUUUCGUGCCAGCAGUUGCGGUAAAACGGAAGAUGCUAGCGUUAUUUAGAUUUAUUAGGCUUAAAGAGUUCGUAGGUUGUAAGAUAAUAUUAGACAUGAAAUUUCAAACCUUCACUUUGAAAUUAUGGUUAAUACCUUUUACUGGAGUUUAGCACAAGAUAAUGGAAUUUUACAAGGAGAGGUGAAAUUUGAAGAUCUGUAAAGGAAUUUCAAAAGCGAAGGCUGUUAUCUAGUUUAUUACUGACGCUGAGGUACGAAAGUAUGAGUAUCAAAAAGGAUUAGAUACCCUAUUAGUUCAUACUGUAAAUUAUGAGCAUUCAUGGUUAGCUACGGUUAGUCAUUUAGAGAAAUCGUUAAAUGCUCCGCCUGAAAAGUAUUUUCGCAAGAUUGAAAUUCAAAAAAAUUGAUGGGGGCUAAUAUAAGUGGUGGAGUAUGUUGUUUAAUGCGAUAAUGCGCGAGAAAACUUACCCGACUUUGUAAAUACAAAGGAAAAGAUUCUUAUUCUUAUAGUGGAAGUUUUGUGUUCAGGUAUUGCAUGGCUGUUGUCAAUUCGUGUUGUGAAAUGUUAGAUUAAUUUCUUAAACGAAUGGAACCCUUAUUUUUUAUUACAUUUUAUUCAUAUCUAAAUUAAAGCUAUAAAAAAAACAGCUAAUUGAUAAGUUAGAGGAAGGAAAGGAUAACAACAAGUCUUCAUGAUCCUUAUGGUUGGGGCUACAAACGUACUACAAUGGGAAUUACAAAAAGAGGCAAUUUUACGGAAAAAAGCAAAACUAUAAAAAUUCCCUAAGUUCAGAUUGAUAGCUGAAAUUCGUUGUCAUGAAGUUGGAAUCACUAGUAAUCGUAAAUCAGUAUGUUUCGGUGAACUUUUUCUUAGCCUUAUACAUACCGCCCGUCACAUCUUGAAACCGAAUUGUCUUUAAA